Molecule: ribosomal RNA, 457 nt
Filed under: uncultured microorganism
Description: bacterial SSU rRNA
Rfam family: Bacterial small subunit ribosomal RNA
Source: RNAcentral
GGGCUGCAGUCGAGAAUCUUUUGCAAUGCCCGAAAGGGUGACAAUGCGACGCCGCGUGAGUGAUUAAGGCCUUCGGGUUGUAAAGCUCUGUCAGCUUGGAUGAAAGCAGGAGGGUUAAUAACCUUUUUGUCUGACGGUACAAGCAGAGGAAGCCACGGCUAACUCCGUGCCAGCAGCCGCGGUAAUACGGAGGUGGCAAGCGUUGUUCGGAUUUACUGGGUGUAAAGGUCAUGUAGGCGUCUUAUUAAGUCGGGUGUGAAAUCCCUUGGCUCAACCAAGGAACUGCAUUCGAUACUGGUAGGAUUGAGUACGAGAGAGGUAAGCGGAAUUCCAGAAGUAAGGGUGAAAUCUGUAGAUAUCUGGAAGAACACCAUUAGCGAAGGCGGCUUACUGGCUCGAUACUGACGCUGAAAUGAGAAAGCUAGGGGAGCAAACAGGAUUAGAUACCCGUGUAGUC